Molecule: microRNA, 22 nt
Filed under: Heligmosomoides polygyrus
Lineage: Eukaryota; Metazoa; Nematoda; Chromadorea; Rhabditida; Heligmosomidae
Description: hpo-miR-10119-3p
Source: miRBase by way of RNAcentral
UUUGCUGGCGGGAAGUCACUGC